RNAcentral lists this ribosomal RNA (487 nucleotides) under uncultured bacterium. RNAcentral describes it as "bacterial SSU rRNA". It matches the Rfam family "Bacterial small subunit ribosomal RNA", at positions 36 to 518 of the family's 1533-position model. The record is from RNAcentral.
CUGGCGGCGUGCUUAACACAUGCAAGUCGAACGAGGAUAUACUGCGGAAGGCUUCGGCUGGAAGGGGUGUAUUCGAGUGGCGGACGGGUGAGUAACGCGUGAGCAAUCUGUCCCAGACAGGGGAAUAACACUUGGAAACAGGUGCUAAUACCGCAUAAGACCACAGUAUCGCAUGGUACAGAGGUAAAAGGAGCAAUCCGGUUUGGGUGAGUUCGCGUCCGAUUAGAUAGUUGGUGAGGUAACGGCCCACCAAGUCGACGAUCGGUAGCCGACCUGAGAGGGUGAUCGGCCACAUUGGAACUGAGAGACGGUCCAAACUCCUACGGGAGGCAGCAGUGGGGAAUAUUGGGCAAUGGGGCCGAAAGCCUGACCCAGCAACGCCGCGUGAGUGAAGAAGGCUUUCGGGUUGUAAAGCUCUGUUAUAGGGGACGAAGGAAGUGACGGUACCCUAUAAGGAAGCCCCGGCUAACUACGUGCCAGCAGCCGC